AUUGAACGCUGGCGGCAGGCCUAACACAUGCAAGUCGAGCGGCAGCGGAAAGUAGCUUGCUACUUUGCCGGCGAGCGGCGGACGGGUGAGUAAUGUCUGGGAAACUGCCUGAUGGAGGGGGAUAACUACUGGAAACGGUAGCUAAUACCGCAUAACGUCGCAAGACCAAAGAGGGGGACCUUUGGGCCUCUUGCCAUCAGAUGUGCCCAGAUGGGAUUAGCUAGUAGGUGGGGUAACGGCUCACCUAGGCGACGAUCCCUAGCUGGUCUGAGAGGAUGACCAGCCACACUGGAACUGAGACACGGUCCAGACUCCGACGGGAGGCAGCAGUGGGGAAUAUUGCACAAUGGGCGCAAGCCUGAUGCAGCCAUGCCGCGUGUAUGAAGAAGGCCUUCGGGUUGUAAAGUACUUUCAGCGGGGAGGAAGGUGUUGUGGUUAAUAACCACAGCAAUUGACGUUACCCGCAGAAGAAGCACCGGCUAACUCCGUGCCAGCAGCCGCCGUAA
Molecule: ribosomal RNA, 506 nt
Filed under: uncultured bacterium
Lineage: Bacteria
Description: partial 16S ribosomal RNA
Rfam family: Bacterial small subunit ribosomal RNA
Source: RNAcentral